GGAGGAGCCGCCGGAAGCUGCUACAUGGGAAUCUGGUACCACAACAUCGCCGUUCAGACGCUGGUUUGGGUGGCCAACCGCGACACGCCGGUCUCCGAUCCAUCCUCGUCACGGCUCGCCAUCACGCCCGACGGCAACCUCGCUCUAUUUGACGGCACCGGCUCAAUCGCUUGGUCCACGAAAGUUAACACCAGCUGCUGGACUGGGCCAAAACCGAAGGUCUUGCUUGUGCACGUGCGGCCUCCCGCAAAUCCGAUUGGCGACGAGGCGGCCGUCUACGAGGAGGAGGGAUCUGCGUUUCAUGGAUUGUACGGCAGCGGGCAGGCAGCCGGGUCCGCUCCGGAGGGCGACGAGGCGACCGUCUAUGAGGAGGAGAUCUUCGAGCGGAGGGUCUAACCAGCUUGGCGACGUUGGGGAGGAGGAUGUCUACAAGCAGAGCUUCCCGUUCCAAGCGGCGGCGGCGCGGCACAGGUCUCUCACCUCCCAUCGCGACAUCAACCGUCGAGACAUGGCCUGGUACAACACGGUAUGCUAGCCACUUCGCCGGAAUUCCAUCGGCGCAUACUGCACCCAGUACGGGUUUACAAUCAUACAUGUCCUUUAUUCUUUCCUCUUCCAAAUUUCUUGACCUUGCGUCACUGGUGUUUCUUAUUAAGAUUUUUUUUGAUGUAGAUCAAAGUGAUUCCUUUCCGAUAGAUGAGCUGAGUUUCAGGUUUCAUUGCAAGAAUAGGCUGACAAGACCUGCUCCGUUAUGCACUUAUUCCAGUGUUGAUUGAACAAACAAACGUGGUAAGGUAUACUUUAUUUUGGGGGAAGAAAAGGAGAAUGACAUUUUAUCAUGUAGCAAGACGAAGACACUUGAGCAUGAUUCCCUGCUCAAAAUCAUGCCUGGCAUCAUCCACUGCGAGUUGUUUGUGGCAGCCUCGGCGCGCUGAAGUUGGCCACGGGCAAUGGCGACGAUGUCCUUCCCCAAUGCGGAUGUCUGGCACCGUCGACCGUCGUCGCGGGUUGUUUGUGGCGGCCUUGGUGCCGCACCACGGCCAUGCCCGCAUUACAGAUCAUGUCUACAAACCCGGUGUGUACUUCUAAUGAAAAUUAUUCUUUGGGCGGUCAUUAAGAUCCAUUCCAAUUUAUUGAAGCUUUGAGAAAAUGCGUGAAACAUGCAAAGUCAACAAAGAAGAUGUUCAAAGGAUCCACGACAAAGUGAACCAAAUCCACAAUGAAGACUUCACUAAAAGCACAAAUUAUGUUUGCAACAUGAGGGAUUGUCUCACAGAUUACCAUACUACCUUUAAGUCACCUAAGAAAAUUCCACGUGUCUGCAACACCUUGUUUAAGAUUGAGGUACUGAAAGGUGCUAGCUUGUCAAGCAAUUACUGCUCUACCUGAAGGCUGCAAGCCCCAUGUGAAGAAUAUUUUUGAGCAAAAUUUCCUUGCCAAGCUACAUGAAACAGAUUUCCGAAACACACUGCAAUGUGUAAAAGUGGUGAAGGUAUUGAUUGGGCUAUGGCUGAAGCCCUUGAUUUUGCAUCACCCAUAGACGAAGGCAACCAUGUUAGGCUAAGUGGACAAGAUGUGCAAAGGGGAUCUUUUAGUCAACGACAUUUGCUUCUACAUGACCAAGAAACUGGGCCGAAGUACUGUCCAUUCGAUCAUGUUAUGGUGAAUCAAAAUGACGAGCUGUUCACUAUUAGCGCAAGAGGCAAGUAUGCUAAUGAAACUAUUACUUAUAAGUUAUAUCAUCAUACUGACUGUUGUGAUAUUAUCUAGACUUGUUAAAAUUGGAGGUUUCUAAGAUCAUUCAUGUUUCCCUGGUCUUUAGAGAAUAAUGGAGAAAUUAUAUUUGGU
This is a long non-coding RNA of Lolium rigidum, 1848 nucleotides long. RefSeq lists it as uncharacterized. The transcript is spliced from 5 exons. The record is from RefSeq and is a predicted model, not a curated record. Lineage: Eukaryota; Viridiplantae; Streptophyta; Magnoliopsida; Poales; Poaceae.